UGGUACCUAGGAGAUGUUCGCUACACCAGCAUAAUGAAGCCUAUCCUGACCCCUGCGUUCUUCAAGUCCAACUCUAGAGCAGGUCUGCCCAAAGGAGAGGAGUAAAUAGGGCCUAAGUGAAUGCAGAGGGGGACACCCUGAGAUCCUGACAGCACAGCCUCGUUCAGGAUGACUUCACAGUUGAAGCGAAAGGCAGCAGUCCAUAGGCUGCUGUGCAGCUGCCGACAAAGAUGGAGCAGAGCACAUGCAUCAGUCAGGUGCUGUCAACAGAAGUGAAGUACUGCUGAAGAGAUGCCACCAAAGCACCAAAUGUUUCAGAGCCUUCAAUGCAUAACCUCUAUCUGGAGGAAGGUGGGGGAAAGGAAGAGCUACCAUGCCGUUGGCAUGAGGGCUGGAUGAACUGAGAAUCCCAACAUGGAUGAGAACCACUCUGGUGGAGCUGAAGGAUGGAGCCAAUGGGCACACUCACGGUGCCAGUUCGUGACUUUCCAGGCGCAGAGGGAGAGUGGCUGCAGAUGCUAAACUGAUAGGCAUGUAGCCACCACACCCAGUUUGGGAUGGAGAACUUUGGAUGUUAACUUGCUAAUGAGAGGGUCCGCAAAGAUACUGGAGUAGAACGGCGACACAUGCUCACAGGAAGUACCCUGGCCCUAAAGGACCAUCCCCAUCAACCACACCAUCAGACCUGGCUGGUGUGGCUCCAUCUCCCUCCAUCCCUCCAUCAUCCAGGGCAGCUUUCUAAAGAUAGACAGAAGGCUCCUGCAGGACGCUCAUUCUCCACUCAUUAACAGCGAUCA
Mus musculus (house mouse) is the source of this 797-nucleotide long non-coding RNA. RefSeq annotates it as predicted gene, 34025. The transcript has 5 exons. The record is from RefSeq and is a predicted model, not a curated record. Lineage: Eukaryota; Metazoa; Chordata; Mammalia; Rodentia; Muridae.